CGGGUGACCGAUCUGGCUCGGUAAACCCCACUGGGAGCAAGGCCAAGCAGGAAGAAGUUCGACCCUUCGGGGAUCGGCGCGGAGUUGCUCGCUCCGCUCCCGCCUUCCGGGUCGGCUGCUGGAGGUGACAGGCAACUGUCAUCCUAGAGAAAUGGUCACCCCCGCAACGUCCUUUCGAGGGCUCUGCGAGGACAAAACCCGGCUUACAGGUCCGCUCCGGUC
RNAcentral lists this RNase P RNA (222 nucleotides) under Pirellulales bacterium. Its description in RNAcentral is "partial RNase P RNA component class A". It matches the Rfam family "Bacterial RNase P class A", at positions 186 to 367 of the family's 367-position model. Rfam says of the family: Ribonuclease P (RNase P) is a ubiquitous endoribonuclease, found in archaea, bacteria and eukarya as well as chloroplasts and mitochondria. Its best characterised activity is the generation of mature 5'-ends of tRNAs by cleaving the 5'-leader elements of precursor-tRNAs. Lineage: Bacteria; Pseudomonadati; Planctomycetota; Planctomycetia; Pirellulales. The record is from RNAcentral.